UGGACGACACCGGAAUCGAACCGGGGACCUCGCGCAUGCUAAG
This 43-nucleotide transfer RNA is filed under the name Yarrowia lipolytica. Its description in RNAcentral is "partial transfer RNA". The record is from RNAcentral. Lineage: Eukaryota; Fungi; Ascomycota; Dipodascomycetes; Dipodascales.